Molecule: small RNA, 1124 nt
Filed under: Nigrospora sp. 16 MU-2012
Lineage: Eukaryota; Fungi; Ascomycota; Sordariomycetes; Amphisphaeriales; Apiosporaceae
Description: eukaryotic LSU rRNA
Rfam family: Eukaryotic large subunit ribosomal RNA (bases 377-1124)
Source: RNAcentral
CUUAUCUCUUUGUUGCCUCGGCGCAAGCUACCCGGGACCUCGCGCCCCGGGGGGCCCGCCGGCGGACAAACCAAACUCUGUUAUCUUCGUUGAUUAUCUGAGUGUCUUAUUUAAUAAGUCAAAACUUUCAACAACGGAUCUCUUGGUUCUGGCAUCGAUGAAGAACGCAGCGAAAUGCGAUAAGUAAUGUGAAUUGCAGAAUUCAGUGAAUCAUCGAAUCUUUGAACGCACAUUGCGCCCAUUAGUAUUCUAGUGGGCAUGCCUGUUCGAGCGUCAUUUCAACCCCUAAGCACAGCUUAUUGUUGGGACUCUACGGCUUCGUAGUUCCCCAAAGACAUUGGCGGAGUGGCAGCAGUCCUCUGAGCGUAGUAAUUCUUUAUCUCGCUUUUGUUAGGCGCUGCCCCCCCGGCCGUAAAACCCCCAAUUUUUUCUGGCGGCGAGUGAAGCGGGAACAGCUCAAAUUUGAAAUCUGGCCCUCGGGUCCGAGUUGUAAUUUGUAGAGGAUGCUUUUGGUGCGGUGCCUUCCGAGUUCCCUGGAACGGGACGCCUUAGAGGGUGAGAGCCCCGUACGGUUGGACGCCUAGCCUCUGUAAAGCUCCUUCGACGAGUCGAGUAGUUUGGGAAUGCUGCUCUAAAUGGGAGGUAUAUUUCUUCUAAAGCUAAAUACUGGCCAGAGACCGAUAGCGCACAAGUAGAGUGAUCGAAAGAUGAAAAGCACUUUGAAAAGAGGGUUAAAUAGCACGUGAAAUUGUUGAAAGGGAAGCGUUUAUCACCAGACUUUUUCUAGGGGGAUCAUCCGGUGUUCUCACCGGUGCACUUCCCCUAGUUGAGGCCAGCAUCGGUUUUCGGAGGGGGAUAAAAGUUUCGGGAAUGUGACUCCCCCGGGAGUGUUAUAGCCCGUUACAUAAUACCCUUCUGGGGACCGAGGUUCGCGCAUCUGCAAGGAUGCUGGCAUAAUGGUGAUCAACGACCCGUCUUGAAACACGGACCAAGGAGUCGAACAUUUAUGCGAGUGUUUGGGUGUCAAACCCUCACGCGUAAUGAAAGUGAACGGAGGUGAGAGCCCUUACGGGUGCAUCAUCGACCGAUCCUGAUGUCUUCGGAUGGAUUUGAGUAAGAGCAUA